RNAcentral lists this long non-coding RNA (452 nucleotides) under Homo sapiens (human). RNAcentral's name for it is "non-protein coding lnc-GPR89B-3:2". Lineage: Eukaryota; Metazoa; Chordata; Mammalia; Primates; Hominidae. The record is from RNAcentral.
UGCCAUUUUCCCAUCUUAGGCUCCAGAAGCAGAAUCAAGUGGGAUGUCUUGGAAGAAAAACAAACAAAAGGCCCACUAGGUGGAGUGAAAUGGAUCAGGAGCAAUUAUGUUCAAUUUCACCUUUAAGUUUUCUCAAAAGGAGGAGCAUUAAGAAUCAGCCACCUUAGUACAUACUUAAAGAUUUACUGAAACCUGAUCCUGUCCCCGCUGAUGAAACAUCAGAGGAAUGGGAUCCUGUAGGUGAAGAUCAUCAGCUUAUAAAAUCCUGUUGCCAUCAAUGGGGGUAGCAGGAAAAUGAUGAAGAUUGGUUAAGGGGCCAGUGGACUCAGCAUUGAAAUGAAUCAUGGACUUGAAGCCAAAAGACUCAGUUUGUGUCCCAGCUCUCUCAAGCAAAGCCCCCAAGUCCCAGUUUCCUCAUCUAUAAAAAAUAAUAAAAAUACUUAAUGGACAAA